Molecule: ribosomal RNA, 438 nt
Filed under: uncultured bacterium
Lineage: Bacteria
Description: partial 16S ribosomal RNA
Rfam family: Bacterial small subunit ribosomal RNA
Source: RNAcentral
UGGGGAAUUUUGGACAAUGGGCGCAAGCCUGAUCCAGCAAUGCCGCGUGCAGGAUGAAGGCCUUCGGGUUGUAAACUGCUUUUGUACGGAACGAAAAGCCUCUCUCUAAUACAGGGGGGUGAUGACGGUACCGUAAGAAUAAGCACCGGCUAACUACGUGCCAGCAGCCGCGGUAAUACGUAGGGUGCAAGCGUUAAUCGGAAUUACUGGGCGUAAAGCGUGCGCAGGCGGUUUUGUAAGACAGUGGUGAAAUCCCCGGGCUCAACCUGGGAACUGCCAUUGUGACUGCAAGGCUGGAGUGCGGCAGAGGGGGGAUGGAAUUCCGCGUGUAGCAGUGAAAUGCGUAGAUAUGCGGAGGAACACCGAUGGCGAAGGCAAUCCCCUGGGCCUGCACUGACGCUCAUGCACGAAAGCGCGGGGAGCAAACAGGAUUAGAUA